Non-coding RNA from Pelobates cultripes (western spadefoot toad), 3828 nucleotides. NCBI's taxonomy places the organism in Eukaryota, Metazoa, Chordata, Amphibia, Anura, Pelobatidae. The record is from the annotation of a GenBank genome assembly.
AUAUAAAACAAAAAUCGAAGUUUACCAAUUCCUGAGACUAUUUUAGGAUCCUUAAACAAGAAAGAGUCUUAAACCAGACGUCAGAAACUGGAGAGGAUUUCGGCCACUGCAAGCAAGAAAGUCCUCAGACGUCUGUCCAGAUGUGAAAAGAUGAGGAAAGUCAAGGUCUAGAAGGCCCCAGGCAAUGCUGCAUGAGGGACUGGAAGGUGACAAACAUGCGUCUAACUCCAUCGCUAUCCAGAAUGUCAUGAGGAGAACAUAUCGAGUCCUGUUUCAGGGGAAUGGGAAUGUGAACAGGCAGAAUAAAGAAUUGGCAGAUGGAUUGGAGGAAAGGAAGUACAAAUAUCGUAGUAGAUAUGGAAUAGUCAAGAAAAAAAAGAAAAAAAAAAAAGUUGAGUAGAGAAGGUACAGAAUAAGUAGAUGGGUUAAAGACUAGGCAGAUCUGAUAAGAAACGAAAUAAUUUAAGGAAGAAAAAAAAGCAUAUGUAUAAAUGGAUGAACAAUGGGAACAAGAAGAAAAUGAACAUAUUAGAAAAGCUAGGUAGAUCUAAUAAAGGUGAUGAGGAGAAAGGUGGGUAGUACGUUGGAGGAGACAAAAAUGGUGGAAUGGGACUAAGACAAAGAAUGAGCAGAUAGAGUGGUGAAUGAAAGUAACUCAACCGAUGGAUACCCGAAGGACAAGUAUCCUAGUAAAGAGAGCAGAAAGGUCUAGAAGGAAGAAUUAAAGAGAUGAAAGGGUGAAAAAGUUGGGUAGAGUAGGUGAAAGGAGAAAAGAAAGGCAAAUAGAAGCAGAGGAAGGACAGAUUUACUUGGUAACGAAAGAUAGCCAUGUGAGAAAGGAUAAUAAGGUGGAGCAAAGGAAGACAUAUAAGAUGGGUAAGUGUGUAUGACUGACAGUAAAAUACCCCCAUGAGUUUUAUUUAACCAAUCUGCAAGCCAGAAAUCAAUCAUUAAACCAACUAUCACACUAGGAUCAUAUGGAGGGAGAACACAGUAAUACAGACAGAAGAUAAGUAACAGGAACUGUAAACGUUGCCUUAUGGCUUAUAGUACGAUGAUGCACUGCUAGCAGCCAGGAAGUACUCUAGACGCGUGGCAUAGCUUGUUGUAAGAAUACAUAUCGGGAAUCAGUUAUCUGUCCUUAAUGCAUGUGGACAGGCCCGGACUGGCCAUCGGGCAUACUGGGCAAAUGCCCGGUGGGCCGCGAUGGCCGUGGGGCCGAGGCCGGCAGGGGAUCUCCCCGGCCGGCCUCUGCAGGGCCAGCACUAUCCGAGCGCCGGCCCUGCUAUGUGUCUCCGUGGGCCGGUGGGGGAGAUCAAAGAUCUCCCUCACCGGCCCACAGACAGGGAGAUGCGGCCGCCGGCUGGGAGAGGGAGGGAGGCAGGGAGGAGAGGACCGGCGGAGCUCUAACAAGCAGGCUGGGGAGGGAGGGAGGCAGGGAGGAGAGGACCGGCGGAGCUCUAACAAGCAGCUCCGCCGGGUCCUCUCGCGGGAUUCUGAGCGUUGCCGCGGUUACCGCGGCAACGCUCAGAUCUCGCGAGAGUGAACUCUAACCUGCAGGUUAGAGUUCACUCUCACCACUGGACCACCAGGGAAGGCAGCAUGGCUCCCCCGGCAAAACGGAUCUCUUCCCCCCCCCUCCCAGGAUAAAGGUAAGAAGGGAGGGGGUGGGGAAAUAUAUAUUUUUUAUUAUUAAAAUAAAUAUUUAAAUAAAAAAUACAUUCACACUCUCACACACACAGCACCCCCAGACACACACAGCACCCCUAUACACAGCACCCAGACACACACAGCACCCAGACACAGCACCCAGACACACACAGCACCCCCAGACACACAGCACACAAGAGGGGAUAUAUAUAUAUAUAUAUUUUUUUAAUUAAUAAAAUAAAUAUUUAAAUUUAAAUAAAAAAUACAUUCACACUCUCACACACACAGCACCCCCCAGACACACACAGCACCCAUACACAGCACCCAGACACACACAGCACCCAGACACACACAACACCCAGACACACACAACACACAGACACAGCACCCCCCAGACACACACAGCACCCAGACACAGCACCCAGGCACACACAGCACCCCCAGACACACACAGCACCCCCAGACACACACAGCACCCCCAGACACACACACAGCACCCAGACAAACACACUUUUGGAGCACACCACAGUUGCACCCAGACACACACAUUUUGAGCACACAGCACCCCAGACACAGCACCCAGACAGACACACACAGCACACAAGUGGGGAUAUAUAUAUAUAUUUUUUUAUUAAUAAAAUAAAUAUUUAAAUUUAAAUAAAAAAUACAUUCACACUCACACACACCGCCCCCAGAGACACACAGCGCACCCAGACACACACACAGCACCCCCAGACACAGCACCCAAACUCACACUGCACCCCCAGACACACACAGCACCCUCACUCACACUGCACCCCCAGACACACACAGCAUACUCCCACACAUAUACACCACACACAUAUAUAUAUAUAUAUAUAUAUAUAUAAAAUAACCCUCAGUGAGUUAACAGACAAAGAAAAUUAGAAACCUAGAAUGUGACAGCAGAUAAAAACACCCUCACACACAGCACCCCUCUUACAUACACACACUGCGCCCCUCACACAUAAAAUAAGUCCAAAUAUAUAUAUAUACACACACACACACACACACACUACAGCACCCCUCACACUGCACCACUACACACAUUACGCUCCAGAUACACACUAGAUCCCUUACCCUAUAUGCACUCUUAAUCCUCUACACACACUCACACACACACACACACACACACACACAGGGUCCUUUACACAGUAGAUCUCCUACACACACACACACACUACAUUCCUUGUCAGCAAACACAUACAACAUUCUCUAAACACACCCUCUCUGCAACCCCUACACACACUACGUCACCUAUACACAUACACUUCAGCCCGUAUGCACUCUCUCGCUGUAUCCCACACUCUCUACAGCCCCUAGCCACACAUAUUACACCACAAACACAAAUUAAAUUGACCUAUUUAUACAAUACCACAAUACACACACACAAUCCCACAAGCAGGCUCCAAACAUAUGCACCAUGCACUUUCCUGGCCCUUUUGUCCUCUGGUAUCCCACUUGUGGAGACACCAGAGACAAUUUAAAAGCAAACACAGCGCAAGCAUGUUAUUAAAUUUGCUUGCGCUGCGCAGAAUAAAUUCAGGGCCUUUUUCUAGUGCCAGAGCUCUUUAGCAGGGCUCUGGGCAUUGAACCAACAUGCUCACUUUGAGAGGGGACAUGUUGUCAUUAGUGAUGACAAAACACACACUUUCUGGCCCUGCCCCCUUCUUAGGGGGCCUCUCUGAUUGAAAAAUGCCCGGGCCUAAUUUUUUCCCCAGUCCGGCCCUGCAUGUGGACAUCACACCCACAGUCUGACAUUUCUACAUCCUGAUACAGCUUCCCAAAAAUUCCAGCAGCUUCCUUUUAACUAACCAAAAUGUAAGGAAUUUAAAUAAGAGAAAAUGGAAUGACUGCUUCAGCUCCCUAACAACCUACAAUGUAAAAGAUAUAAGAUAUUAUACCGCAAUAUUUCGGCAAAGGAUGAAACACUAACAGUUUUUAUUCACAAAAUGCAAACCGUUUGCAAAAUAAGUCCAAAUGGGAAAAAAAAGAAAAAUCUGAUCUGUAAAAAUUCUCUGAGCCAGUCAUAGCUUGACUAUUUAACCUUAGUUUUGCCAUUCAUACUUUACAAGGGACACUAUAGGCACCCAGAUCACUUCAUCUCACUGAAACGGUUUGGGUGCAGUGUCCUUAUCCCCCUUCGUCCUGCAAUGUAAG